This 75-nucleotide transfer RNA is filed under the name Weissella koreensis KACC 15510. RNAcentral describes it as "tRNA-OTHER". Lineage: Bacteria; Bacillati; Bacillota; Bacilli; Lactobacillales; Lactobacillaceae. The record is from RNAcentral.
GGACUCUUAGCUCAGUUAGUUAGUUCGAAUGGUUCAAUAAUCGUUCGAUCGUUGGUUCGAGUCCGACAGGGUCCU